Molecule: ribosomal RNA, 801 nt
Filed under: uncultured archaeon
Lineage: Archaea
Description: bacterial SSU rRNA
Rfam family: Archaeal small subunit ribosomal RNA
Source: RNAcentral
GGGGCACCACCGGCGGACGGCUCAGUAACACGUCGGUAACCUACCCUCGGGAGGGGGAUAACCCCGGGAAACUGGGGCUAAUUCCCCAUAGGCCUGAGGUACUGGAAGGUCCUCAGGCCGAAAGGGACUUAUGUCCGCCCGAGGAUGGGCCGGCGGCCGAUUAGGUAGUUGGUGGGGUAAUGGCCCACCAAGCCGAAGAUCGGUACGGGCUGUGAGAGCAGGAGCCCGGAGAUGGACACUGAGACACGGGUCCAGGCCCUACGGGGCGCAGCAGGCGCGAAACCUCCGCAAUGCGGGAAACCGCGACGGGGGGACCCCGAGUGCCGUGGCAACGCCACGGCUUUUCCGGAGUGUAAAAAGCUCCGGGAAUAAGGGCUGGGCAAGGCCGGUGGCAGCCGCCGCGGUAAUACCGGCGGCCCGAGUGGUGGCCGCUAUUAUUGGGCCUAAAGCGUCCGUAGCCGGGCCCGUAAGUCCCUGGCGAAAUCCCACGGCUCAACCGUGGGGCUUGCUGGGGAUACUGCGGGUCUUGGGACCGGGAGAGGCGGGGGGUACCCCUGGGGUAGGGGUGAAAUCCUAUAAUCCCAGGGGGACCGCCAGUGGCGAAGGCGCCCCGCUGGAACGGGUCCGACGGUGAGGGACGAAGGCCAGGGGAGCAAACCGGAUUAGAUACCCGGGUAGUCCUGGCUGUAAAGGAUGCGGGCUAGGUGUCGGGUGAGCCUCGAGCUCGCCCGGUGCCGUAGGGAAGCCGUUAAGCCCGCCGCCUGGGGAGUACGGCCGCAAGGCUGAAACUUAAAGGAAUUG